CCCGCGGGGCCCCAGCCCGUUAGGUUCUCUACGAACAUUAGUAGUCUUUGUGACAUGUACAUGUACGAUGUUCCGUGACAUGUACGAAACUUAUGUUAGAAUCAUCAACGAAGUUAUGUAACAGUUAUUAAUAAUAAUAAUCGUUGAAUUAUACUAAGGGAAAUGCUGCGUACUACAUUAUCUAUGGCCCUUUCUUCUAUCCUCCUAUGUCAGAAGCUUGUAUCCUCACUAUCGUUACUAAAUUCACAUGUGGCCGGUCAGCCUUAAGGUUAGGUGCUUGUUUCUUUAUUACAUGCAGUAGACACCUUUGCUUGUUUCGAAGGGAUGCAAUGCAGUUAGAUGCGAAGUGGGGGCCGGUGCGUGCAGCAGUUGGUCUCUGGCCUGGCAGGGGUUGACCCUGGCUGCAUCCUUGCAUGAUGGGCGGCAUCUUUGUAUCGCAUCGUCGGUGUUUGCAAUGUGGACGGUGGAUAGAUCGACAGAUUUUGGAAAGGGCAAUACCGAUCUUUCCGUUGCUUUGUCCUGCAAGCAAGCAAGGCGCUAGCCUCAAUAAUCUACAAGGCAAUAGUGCCACCAGUUAGUAUGGCGACGACAUGAGUAGAAGAAAUCGACUGUUCCAGCAUAUAUUCCACGAAACGGCGUAAUGACAUACCUUUAAUUAUUUAGCCAGCCUUUUGCAGCAGCAGCUGCUAUUGUAUUAUUAUGGCUGGUUGCAAAACAAAUUGCGGGUGCGAGGCGAAGUGCACUCUUAAGUACGGCUAGAGUCGCAACUCGCAACUCGCAAGGAACGCGCAAAAUCUCGUUCACCUUUUUACGGGAAUACAUACGUGAUUCACGCCUGUAGGGAGUAAUCACUGCACAUUUGUGGCUUCCGUGUCUGCCGAUUGCAAACGCAAAUAUGUCUGAAGUGGCUUGCGGUCUAAAUGUCGUCAGUCAGAGCAAUGCAAUGUAGCUUGUCAUACGCACGAGCUCGCUCAGGCCUCAUCUAGUAACGACAUGCAAGUUCGUAUCAGUAUUUGCUGAUGGUCCUUCUGGUGGUUCCGAGACAUUCGCCACUUGGGGAGUCUAAUGGCAGAUUUCCCAGUGGUUGCGGGUUCUAAGCCUUCCCUUUGGAUUUGCUUUUGGCUGUCUUGCUGACUUGCGUUGCCUGAUUUGUGCACGGUCAGCU
This 1165-nucleotide long non-coding RNA is filed under the name Volvox carteri. RNAcentral describes it as "long non-coding RNA (VCAR_LNC000464)". Lineage: Eukaryota; Viridiplantae; Chlorophyta; Chlorophyceae; Chlamydomonadales; Volvocaceae. The record is from RNAcentral.